Small nuclear RNA from Brassica oleracea var. oleracea, 110 nucleotides. The record is from Rfam. Lineage: Eukaryota; Viridiplantae; Streptophyta; Magnoliopsida; Brassicales; Brassicaceae.
GGAUGAGAAGGUAUUGGAUCCACAAACGUAAAUUGGAACGAGACAUAGUAGAUUAGCAUGGCCCAUGCGCAAGGAUGAUACACACUAUUUGAAAAAUGGUUCAAAAAUAG